RNAcentral lists this ribosomal RNA (411 nucleotides) under bacterium enrichment culture clone ALO1_GLFRUDD03GZ44O. Its description in RNAcentral is "bacterial SSU rRNA". It matches the Rfam family "Bacterial small subunit ribosomal RNA", at positions 9 to 420 of the family's 1533-position model. The record is from RNAcentral.
GAGUUUGAUCUUGGCUCAGAUUGAACGCUGGCGGCAUGCCUUACACAUGCAAGUCGAACGGCAGCACGGGAGCUUGCUCCUGGUGGCGAGUGGCGAACGGGUGAGCAAUGCAUCGGAACGUAUCCUGGAGUGGGGGAUAACGUAGCGAAAGUUACGCUAAUACCGCAUAUUCUGUGAGCAGGAAAGCGGGGGACCUUCGGGCCUCGCGCUCUUGGAGCGGCCGAUGUCGGAUUAGCUAGUUGGUGAGGUAAAGGCUCACCAAGGCGACGAUCCGUAGCAGGUCUGAGAGGAUGAUCUGCCACACUGGAACUGAGACACGGUCCAGACUCCUACGGGAGGCAGCAGUGGGGAAUUUUGGACAAUGGGGGCAACCCUGAUCCAGCCAUGCCGCGUGAGUGAAGAAGGCCUCGG